UUGUUUCGCUCAGGUUAUCAUGGCAACAAACCGUAUCGACAUUCUAGACUCUGCACUUCUUCGACCAGGCCGCAUUGAUAGGAAGAUUGAAUUUCCCCCUCCCAAUGAAGAGGCUCGUUUGGAUAUUCUGAAGAUCCACUCC
Molecule: long non-coding RNA, 142 nt
Organism: Sinocyclocheilus grahami
Lineage: Eukaryota; Metazoa; Chordata; Actinopteri; Cypriniformes; Cyprinidae
Exons: 2
Source: RefSeq, a predicted model, not a curated record